RNAcentral lists this ribosomal RNA (413 nucleotides) under uncultured bacterium. RNAcentral describes it as "bacterial SSU rRNA". It matches the Rfam family "Bacterial small subunit ribosomal RNA", at positions 505 to 916 of the family's 1533-position model. The record is from RNAcentral.
GUGUCAGCAGCCGCGGUAACACGUAGGAGGCAAACGUUAUCCGGAUUUACUGGGCGUAAAGCGCGUGUAGGUGGUUUGGUAAGUAGGGCGUGAAAGCUCCUGGCUCAACUGGGAGAGGACGUCCUAAACUGCCAAGCUUGAGGAUGGUAGAGGGAGGUGGAAUUCCGGGUGUAGCGGUGGAAUGCGCAGAUAUCCGGAGGAACACCAGUGGCGAAGGCGGCCUCCUGGACCACUCCUGACACUCAGACGCGAAAGCUAGGGUAGCAAACGGGAUUAGAGACCCCGGUAGUCCUAGCCCUAAACGAUGUAGACUUGGCGUCGGUGGUUUAAUCGCCAUCGGUGUCGUAGCUAACGCGUUAAGUCUACCGCCUGGGGACUACGGCCGCAAGGUUAAAACUCAAAGGAAUUGACGG